RNAcentral lists this ribosomal RNA (254 nucleotides) under uncultured bacterium. RNAcentral describes it as "partial 16S ribosomal RNA". It matches the Rfam family "Bacterial small subunit ribosomal RNA", at positions 524 to 776 of the family's 1533-position model. The record is from RNAcentral.
UACGGGGGGGGCAAGCGUUGUUCGGAAUUACUGGGCGUAAAGGGCUCGUAGGCGGCCAACUAAGUCAGACGUGAAAGCCCCCGGCUCAACUGGGGAGGGUCACGCGAUACUGAUCGACUCGAAGGCAGGAGAGGGUAGUGGAAUUCCCGGUGUAGUGGUGAAAUGCGUAGAUAUCGGGAGGAACACCAGUGGCGAAGGCGACUACCUGGCCUGUUUCUUGACGCUGAGGCGCGAAAGCUAGGGGAGCAAACGGG